RNAcentral lists this long non-coding RNA (488 nucleotides) under Trifolium pratense (red clover). Its description in RNAcentral is "long non-coding RNA (TPRA_LNC001764)". The record is from RNAcentral. Lineage: Eukaryota; Viridiplantae; Streptophyta; Magnoliopsida; Fabales; Fabaceae.
GAAGGACCAUGGUUACAGACCGUUGAUUUCCAUCAGACAGCCAAGAUCUGAUCUCAUCAAGACUGUCUGAUCAAUCCGACAGCCCAGAUCAUCCUGAUCCAUCAAAUUCCAGCGCGUGCGCCACACUGGAUUACACCCUGGAGAGAGAAAAUUUUGCUUUUUAAAAGUAGGACACGUGUCACACAAUGGUUGGCUGGACGUGAUUUUUGUUCAUUUAAUACUUUGAACUCAAUUNNNNNAUUUUUUAUACCAAAAUUCAUAAUUUUUUUUUUGCUACAAAUAGAGACUUGGUUCGUUUGAUUUGGACACCGAAAAAAAAAUGCAAUUUUUCACUACCUUAAUCUCAUUUUUUGUCUACUAAAUACGUUACUUGUGUGUUGUAAUUUAACACGCACCACUCAACCAACUCACUGAAACCAUUAUACCAGGAAAAUAGUAGAUAAUAUUUUGGAACUUUUGGUAUAUUUUAUGAAAUUUUUGAAGACCUG